RNAcentral lists this ribosomal RNA (493 nucleotides) under uncultured bacterium. RNAcentral's name for it is "partial 16S ribosomal RNA". It matches the Rfam family "Bacterial small subunit ribosomal RNA", at positions 28 to 507 of the family's 1533-position model. The record is from RNAcentral.
GACGAACGCUGGCGGCGUGCUUAACACAUGCAAGUCGAACGGUGAAGGGACCGGUUUUUGCUGGUUCUGGAUGAGUGGCGAACGGGUGAGUAACACGUGAGUAACCUGCCCCCUUCUUCUGGAUAACCGCAUGAAAGUGUGGCUAAUACGGGAUAUUCUGCGCCUGCUGCAUGGUGGGUGUGGGAAAGAUAUUGUUUCGGUGGGGGAUGGGCUCGCGGCCUAUCAGCUUGUUGGUGGGGUGAUGGCCUACCAAGGCGGUGACGGGUAGCCGGCCUGAGAGGGUGGACGGUCACACUGGGACUGAGACACGGCCCAGACUCCUACGGGAGGCAGCAGUGGGGAAUAUUGCACAAUGGGCGCAAGCCUGAUGCAGCGACGCCGCGUGAGGGAUGGAGGCCUUCGGGUUGUAAACCUCUUUGGCCAGUGAAGCAGGCCUGUCCCUUUUGUGGGUGGGUUGACGGUAGCUGGAUAAGAAGCGCCGGCUAACUACGUG